RNAcentral lists this long non-coding RNA (267 nucleotides) under Ricinus communis (castor bean). RNAcentral's name for it is "long non-coding RNA (RCOM_LNC000601)". Lineage: Eukaryota; Viridiplantae; Streptophyta; Magnoliopsida; Malpighiales; Euphorbiaceae. The record is from RNAcentral.
UCAUUCUUAGCUAAUGCUACCUGCAAAGGGUCAGAACAUAAAAUUUCUUGCAAAUGGGACUCAACCAUAUCAUCAAUCACAUCAAUAGAAUAUACAGUAUUAUCAUAGUCUAGUGACUGUCUCAUAAAAGUGGCUAGGUCAAAGGUAAUGGUCUCAUCAUUAACUCUAAGCUUAAGCUUUCCAUCGCUUACAUCGAUAACAGCCCUCGAUGUAGCUAGGAAAGGCCUACCCAGGAUAAGACGCACAGUGCUCUCACCCUCCAUAUCC